Molecule: ribosomal RNA, 253 nt
Filed under: uncultured bacterium
Lineage: Bacteria
Description: partial 16S ribosomal RNA
Rfam family: Bacterial small subunit ribosomal RNA
Source: RNAcentral
UACGUAGGGGGCAAGCGUUGUCCGGAAUCAUUGGGCGUAAAGAGCGUGUAGGCGGCCCGGUAAGUCCGCUGUGAAAGUCCAGGGCUCAACCCUCGAAUGCCGGUGGAUACUGUCGGGCUAGAGUGCGGAAGAGGCGAGUGGAAUUCCUGGUGUAGCGGUGAAAUGCGCAGAUAUCAGGAGGAACACCGAUUGCGAAGGCAGCUCGCUGGGACGUAACUGACGCUGAGACGCGAAAGCGUGGGGAGCAAACAGG